Molecule: ribosomal RNA, 253 nt
Filed under: uncultured bacterium
Lineage: Bacteria
Description: partial 16S ribosomal RNA
Rfam family: Bacterial small subunit ribosomal RNA
Source: RNAcentral
UACGGGGGGAGCAAGCGUUGUUCGGAUUUACUGGGCGUAAAGGGCGCGUAGGCGGCCACCGCAAGUCGACUGUGAAAUCUCCAGGCUUAACCCGGAAAGGCAGCCGAUACUGCGGGGCUAGAGUGCAGAAGGGGCAACUGGAAUUCUCGGUGUAGCGGUGAAAUGCGUAGAUAUCGAGAGGAACACCUGCGGCGAAGGCGGGUUGCUGGGCUGACACUGACGCUGAGGCGCGAAAGCUAGGGGAGCGAACGGG